GACGAACGCUGGCGGCGUGCUUAACACAUGCAAGUCGAGCGGAGCGGCGGACGGGUGAGUAAUGCCUAGGAAUCUGCCUGGUAGUGGGGGAUAACGUCCGGAAACGGGCGCUAAUACCGCAUACUAUCAGAUGAGCCUAGGUCGGAUUAGCUAGUGGGUGGGGUAAAGGCCUACCAAGGCGACGAUCCGUAACUGGUCUGAGAGGAUGAUCAGUCACACUGGAACUGAGACACGGUCCAGACUCCUACGGGAGGCAGAAGUGGGGAAUAUUGGACAAUGGGGGAAAGCCUGAUGCAGCAAUGCCGCGUGUGUGAAGAAGGUCUUCGGAUUUAAAAGUCCUUUAAGUUGGGAGGCGUUACCAACAGAAUAAGCACCGGCUAACUUCGUGCCAGCAGCCGCGGUAAUAC
RNAcentral lists this ribosomal RNA (407 nucleotides) under uncultured bacterium. Its description in RNAcentral is "partial 16S ribosomal RNA". It matches the Rfam family "Bacterial small subunit ribosomal RNA", at positions 28 to 526 of the family's 1533-position model. The record is from RNAcentral.